This 1042-nucleotide non-coding RNA is filed under the name Caenorhabditis japonica. RNAcentral describes it as "Eukaryotic small subunit ribosomal RNA". It matches the Rfam family "Eukaryotic small subunit ribosomal RNA", at positions 36 to 1126 of the family's 1831-position model. Lineage: Eukaryota; Metazoa; Nematoda; Chromadorea; Rhabditida; Rhabditidae. The record is from Rfam by way of RNAcentral.
GUAAAAGAUUAAGCCAUGCAUGCUUUGAUUCAUAAAUGAAAUUGCGUACGGCUCAUUAGAGCAGAUAUCACCUUUCUCGGAAUCCUGAAAAGGAUAACUGCGGAAAUUCUGGAGCUAAUACAUGCGACUAUACUCCAACGCAAGGCGGGGUGCAAUUAUUAGAACAGACCAAACGUUUUCGGACGUUGUUUGUUGACUCUGAAUACCGUCGUUUACUGUCAGUUUCGACUGACUCUAUCCGAGAAGGGUGUCUGCCCUUUCAACUAGAUGGUAAUCUAUUGGACUACCAUGGUUGUUACGGGUAACGGAGAAUUAGGGUUCGACUCCGGAGAGGGAGCCUUAGAAACGGCUACCACGUCCAAGGAAGGCAGCAGGCGCGAAACUUAUCCACUGUUGAGUAUGAGAUAGUGACUAAAAAUAUAAAGACUCAUCCUUUUGGAUGAGUUAUUUCAAUGAGUUGAAUAUAAAUUAUUCUUCGAGUAGCAAGGAGAGGGCAAGUCUGGUGCCAGCAGCCGCGGUAAUUCCAGCUCUCCUAGUGUAUCUCGUUAUUGCUGCGGUUAAAAAGCUCGUAGUUGGAUCUAGGUUACGUGCCGCAGUUCGCAAUUUGCGUUAACUGUGGUCGUGACUUCUAAUUUGCUGGUUUGAGGUUGGGUUCGCCCUUCAACUGCCAGCAGGUUUACCUUGAAUAAAUCAGAGUGCUCAAUACAGGCGCUUGCUUGAAUAGCUCAUCAUGGAAUAAUGAAACAGGACUUCGGUUCUUUUUGUUGGUUCUAGAAUUGAUCUAAUGGAUUAAGAGGGACAAACCGGGGGCAUUCGUAUCAUUACGCGAGAGGUGAAAUUCGUGGACCGUAGUGAGACGCCCAAUAGCGAAAGCAUUUGCCAAGAAUGUCUUCAUUAAUCAAGAACGAAAGUCAGAGGUUCGAAGGCGAUUAGAUACCGCCCUAGUUCUGACCGUAAACGAUGCCAUCUCGCGAUUCGGAGGGUUCAUGCCCUACCGAGGAGCUACCCGGAAACGAAAGUCUUUCGGUUCCGGGGGUAGUAU